AGAACGAACGCUGGCGGCAGGCUUAACACAUGCAAGUCGAACGCCCCGCAAGGGGAGUGGCAGACGGGUGAGUAACGCGUGGGAAUCUACCUGGUUCUACGGAAUAACACAGGGAAACUUGUGCUAAUACCGUAUACGCCCCAAGGGGGAAAGAUUUAUCGGUGCCAGAUGAGCCCGCGUAAGAUUAGCUAGUUGGUGGGGUAAUGGCCUACCAAGGCGACGAUCUUUAGCUGGUCUGAGAGGAUGAUCAGCCACACUGGGACUGAGACACGGCCCAGACUCCUACGGGAGGCAGCAGUGGGGGAAUAUUGGACAAUGGGCGAAAGCCUGAUCCAGCCAUGCCGCGUGAGUGAUGAAGGCCUUAGGGUUGUAAAGCUCUUUCAGUGGGGAAGAUAAUGACGGUACCCACAGAAGAAGCCCCGGCUAACUUCGUAGCCAGCAGCCGC
RNAcentral lists this ribosomal RNA (446 nucleotides) under uncultured bacterium. Its description in RNAcentral is "SSU rRNA". It matches the Rfam family "Bacterial small subunit ribosomal RNA", at positions 26 to 518 of the family's 1533-position model. The record is from RNAcentral.